GUCGAACGUGCAGCACAGGAUGAGCUUGCUCUCUGGGUGGCGAGUGGCGGACGGGUGAGGAAUACAUCGGAAUCUACUCUGUCGUGGGGGAUAACGUAGGGAAACUUACGCUAAUACCGCAUACGACCUACGGGUGAAAGCAGGGGAUCUUCGGACCUUGCGCGAUUGAAUGAGCCGAUGUCGGAUUAGCUAGUUGGCGGGGUAAAGGCCCACCAAGGCGACGAUCCGUAGCUGGUCUGAGAGGAUGAUCAGCCACACUGGAACUGAGACACGGUCCAGACUCCUACGGGAGGCAGCAGUGGGGAAUAUUGGACAAUGGGCGCAAGCCUGAUCCAGCCAUACCGCGUGGGUGAAGAAGGCCUUCGGGUUGUAAAGCCCUUUUGUUGGGAAAGAAAUCCAGCCGGCUAAUACCUGGUUUGGAUGACGGUACCCAAGAAUAAGCACCGGCUAACUUCGUGCCAGCAGCCGCGGUAAUAC
This 477-nucleotide ribosomal RNA is filed under the name Stenotrophomonas sp. 4P-7. Its description in RNAcentral is "bacterial SSU rRNA". It matches the Rfam family "Bacterial small subunit ribosomal RNA", at positions 61 to 526 of the family's 1533-position model. Lineage: Bacteria; Pseudomonadati; Pseudomonadota; Gammaproteobacteria; Lysobacterales; Lysobacteraceae. The record is from RNAcentral.